UUGGCCAAAAAGUUCGUUUGGGUUUUUCCAUAACAUCUUACAAAAAAUCUGAAUGAACUUUUUGGCCAA
This 69-nucleotide microRNA precursor is filed under the name Tursiops truncatus (common bottlenose dolphin). RNAcentral's name for it is "miRNA (ENSTTRG00000024563.1)". The record is from RNAcentral. Lineage: Eukaryota; Metazoa; Chordata; Mammalia; Artiodactyla; Delphinidae.